UACAUGGGGUGCAAACGUUGCUCGGAAUUAUUGGGCGUAAAGCGCGCGUAGGCGGUUACUCAAGUCGGAUGUGAAAGCCCUCGGCUUAACUGAGGAAGUGCACCCGAAACUGAGUAGCUAGAGUACUAAAGAGGGUCGCGGAAUUCCCGGUGUAGCGGUGAAAUGCGCAGAUAUCAGGAGGAACACCGAUGGCGAAGGCAGGUCUCUGGGCAUUAACUGACGCUGAGGAGCGAAAGCAUGGGGAGCGAACAGG
This 253-nucleotide ribosomal RNA is filed under the name uncultured bacterium. Its description in RNAcentral is "partial 16S ribosomal RNA". It matches the Rfam family "Bacterial small subunit ribosomal RNA", at positions 524 to 776 of the family's 1533-position model. The record is from RNAcentral.